Molecule: microRNA, 24 nt
Filed under: Ananas comosus (pineapple)
Lineage: Eukaryota; Viridiplantae; Streptophyta; Magnoliopsida; Poales; Bromeliaceae
Description: microRNA s1001_c128a
Source: RNAcentral
CGAGUCUAAUGUCAAGAAAGGAAA